Molecule: unclassified non-coding RNA, 271 nt
Filed under: air metagenome
Description: partial contains small subunit ribosomal RNA, internal transcribed spacer 1, and 5.8S ribosomal RNA
Rfam family: Eukaryotic small subunit ribosomal RNA (bases 1-46)
Source: RNAcentral
AAGUCGUAACAAGGUUUCCGUAGGUGAACCUGCGGAAGGAUCAUUAACGAGUUAGGGUCCCUCGUGGCCCGACCUCCCAACCCUUUGUCUACCCGACCACUGUUGCUUCGGCGAGCCCGUCUGUAAUGGACCGCCGGGGGGUACCUUGAUCGGCCCUCUGGUCCGCGCUCGUCGAUAGCCAAACUUUUAAAAUCUUAACCAAACGUGUCUCAAUCUAAGUAUUAUUUGUUAAAUAAAAGCAAAACUUUCAACAACGGAUCUCUUGGUUCUG